Molecule: small RNA, 146 nt
Filed under: Chloroparvula japonica
Lineage: Eukaryota; Viridiplantae; Chlorophyta; Chloropicophyceae; Chloropicales; Chloropicaceae
Description: partial Betaproteobacteria transfer-messenger RNA
Source: RNAcentral
AGUGUCGGUGCAUGUACUCUGAAAGGCCAUCUCUUCAUUGCUUUCCGGUAUUUUGCAAACGGAAGCCUUGACAAGCUUAUCUAUAGUGAGAAAUUCGCGUACGACCAGCGUUUUUGGCUCCAGGCUGCCAUUGACAUUGCGGAGGG